RNAcentral lists this ribosomal RNA (253 nucleotides) under uncultured bacterium. RNAcentral's name for it is "partial 16S ribosomal RNA". It matches the Rfam family "Bacterial small subunit ribosomal RNA", at positions 524 to 776 of the family's 1533-position model. The record is from RNAcentral.
UACGGGGGGAGCAAGCGUUGUUCGGAAUUACUGGGCGUAAAGGGCUCGUAGGCGGCCAACUAAGUCAGACGUGAAAUCCCUCGGCUUAACCGGGGAACUGCAUCUGAUACUGGAUGGCUUGAGUUCGGGAGAGGGAUGCGGAAUUCCAGGUGUAGCGGUGAAAUGCGUAGAUAUCGGGAGGAACACCAAUGGCGAAGGCAGCUCGCUGGGACGUGACUGACGCUGAGACGCGAAAGCGUGGGGAGCAAACAGG